RNAcentral lists this ribosomal RNA (300 nucleotides) under uncultured Legionellaceae bacterium. Its description in RNAcentral is "bacterial SSU rRNA". It matches the Rfam family "Bacterial small subunit ribosomal RNA", at positions 114 to 417 of the family's 1533-position model. Lineage: Bacteria; Pseudomonadati; Pseudomonadota; Gammaproteobacteria; Legionellales; Legionellaceae. The record is from RNAcentral.
CGCGUAGGAAUAUACCUUUUUGUGGGGGACAACUUUAGGAAACUGAAGCUAAUACCGCAUAAUAUCUUCGGAUAAAAGCUGGGGACCUUCGGGCCUGGUGCAAAAAGAUUAGCCUGCGUCCGAUUAGCUAGUUGGUAGGGUAAAGGCCUACCAAGGCGACGAUCGGUAGCUGUUCUGAGAGGAAGAUCAGCCACACUGGGACUGAGACACGGCCCAGACUCCUACGGGAGGCAGCAGUGGGGAAUAUUGGACAAUGGGGGCAACCCUGAUCCAGCAAUGCCGCGUGUGUGAAGAAGGCCU